This 831-nucleotide non-coding RNA is filed under the name Pan troglodytes (chimpanzee). The record is from RNAcentral. Lineage: Eukaryota; Metazoa; Chordata; Mammalia; Primates; Hominidae.
UUCCGCUCCUCAAGACCGCACCCCCCCCGGUUCCUUCUCACUACCGAAACUCACCGAAGGAAAUAGACGCCAGUGCUCCUCCCGGGGCUGCCACCACGGCUCCGGCAGGCGGGCCGGGGACCGGCCGAACCUGAGUUGACGGUGGAGGGGCUCGGGUUAGCUAGAUGGGCGGUUGGUUAGAUGCCGGCCGCCAGCUCCUGCUCGGUGUCCAAAACAAAAUGGCCGCCACGUCCAGUGCUUGUCUGACCGGCUAAAAUGGCGUCUACGCAAUUACGUCAGGCGUCAGAUCCGCGCACGACUAGAGGGCGGGAAAGAUUUGAGCUACGCCUGCGCAGAGAUAGAGUCUCGCUGUGUCACCCAGACUGGAGUGCAGUGGUACCAUCUCGGCUCACUGCAACCUCCGCCUCCCAGGUUCAAGCGAUUCUCCUGCCUCAGCCUCCUGAGUAGCUGGAAUUACAGCUGAGAAGCUGAUGUUUCCUCGACUUCCAACUGGAACCUUGAACCCCCACAUUUCUGGACCUUGAGCAUUCCUCAAGUAGGAAGAUGUAAUGCACCUUGACCUCUUUCUAAAUAAGACACUUCCCCAAAUAAGGGGAGUUGAGAGUGAACAGUCUUCACGUCUCCACCCACUUCCAGAUCCCAGAGGAGACAGACAUCGGAUGGCUGAAGAAAUUGUUACAGGCCACUGUGAGAGCAGCCACAAGCACCACAUACUCCUGGAAGUCCACCUCCCCGUCUCCAUUCUCGUCUAGCUCCUUCAUCACCUUGUCCACAGCAUCCACAUCCUUCUGGGCCUGUGGUGGGAGGAGAGGAAGAGGGAGGUGUAUAGGG